RNAcentral lists this ribosomal RNA (297 nucleotides) under Escherichia coli. RNAcentral describes it as "partial 23S ribosomal RNA". It matches the Rfam family "Bacterial large subunit ribosomal RNA", at positions 1 to 289 of the family's 2925-position model. Lineage: Bacteria; Pseudomonadati; Pseudomonadota; Gammaproteobacteria; Enterobacterales; Enterobacteriaceae. The record is from RNAcentral.
GGGUUGUGAGGUUAAGCGACUAAGCGUACACGGUGGAUGCCCUGGCAGUCAGAGGCGAUGAAGGACGUGCUAAUCUGCGAUAAGCGUCGGUAAGGUGAUAUGAACCGUUAUAACCGGCGAUUUCCGAAUGGGGAAACCCAGUGUGUUUCGACACACUAUCAUUAACUGAAUCCAUAGGUUAAUGAGGCGAACCGGGGGAACUGAAACAUCUAAGUACCCCGAGGAAAAGAAAUCAACCGAGAUUCCCCCAGUAGCGGCGAGCGAACGGGGAGGAGCCCAGAGCCUGAAUCAGUGUGU